Molecule: ribosomal RNA, 351 nt
Filed under: uncultured Desulfobulbus sp.
Lineage: Bacteria; Pseudomonadati; Thermodesulfobacteriota; Desulfobulbia; Desulfobulbales; Desulfobulbaceae
Description: bacterial SSU rRNA
Rfam family: Bacterial small subunit ribosomal RNA
Source: RNAcentral
CUGGAGACAGGUGCUGCAUGGCUGUCGUCAGCUCGUGUCGUGAGAUGUGGGUUAAGUCCCGCAACGAGCGCAACCCUUGCCUUAGUUGCCAGCAGUUCGGCUGGGCACUCUAAAGGGACUGCCGGUGUUAAACCGGAGGAAGUGGGGAUGACGUCAAGUCCUCAUGGCCUUUAUGACCAGGGCUACACACGUACUACAAUGGCCGAUACAAAGGGCAGCGACACUGCGAGGUGAAGCCAAUCCCGUAAAAUCGGUCUCAGUCCGGAUUGGAGUCUGCAACUCGACUCCAUGAAGUUGGAAUCGCUAGUAAUCGUGGAUCAGCAUGCCACGGUGAAUACGUUCCCGGGCCUU